RNAcentral lists this ribosomal RNA (547 nucleotides) under uncultured bacterium. RNAcentral describes it as "bacterial SSU rRNA". It matches the Rfam family "Bacterial small subunit ribosomal RNA", at positions 355 to 896 of the family's 1533-position model. The record is from RNAcentral.
UGGGGAAUAUUGCGCAAUGAGGGGAACCCUAACGCAGCCAUGCCGCGUGAAUGAAGAAGGCCUUCGGGUUGUAAAGUUCUUUCGGUAUUGAGGAAGGUUGAUGUGUUAAUAGCACAUCAAAUUGACGUUAAAUACAGAAGAAGCACCGGCUAACUCCGUGCCAGCAGCCGCGGUAAUACGGAGGGUGCGAGCGUUAAUCGGAAUAACUGGGCGUAAAGGGCACGCAGGCGGUUAUUUAAGUGAGGUGUGAAAGCCCCGGGCUUAACCUGGGAAUUGCAUUUCAGACUGGGUAACUAGAGUACUUUAGGGAGGGGUAGAAUUCCACGUGUAGCGGUGAAAUGCGUAGAGAUGUGGAGGAAUACCGAAGGCGAAGGCAGCCCCUUGGGAAUGUACUGACGCUCAUGUGCGAAAGCGUGGGGAGCAAACAGGAUUAGAUACCCUGGUAGUCCACGCUGUAAACGCUGUCGAUUUGGGGGUUGGGGUUUAACUCUGGCGCCCGUAGCUAACGUGAUAAAUCGACCGCCUGGGGAGUACGGCCGCAAGGUUA